GACGAACGCUGGCGGCGUGCUUAACACAUGCAAGUCGAACGGAAAGGCCCUGCUUUUGUGGGGUGCUCGAGUGGCGAACGGGUGAGUAACACGUGAGUAACCUGCCCUUGACUUUGGGAUAACUUCAGGAAACUGGGGCUAAUACCGGAUAGGAGCUCCUGCUGCAUGGUGGGGGUUGGAAAGUUUCGGCGGUUGGGGAUGGACUCGCGGGUUAUCAGCUUGUUGGUGGGGUAGAGGCUUGCCAAGGCUUUGACGGGUAGCCCGCCUGAGAGGGUGACCGGGGCCACGGGGCCUGCGAGAGGGAGCAGAGUCCCAUAGGGGACAGCGGGGGGGAGUAUUGUACAAUGGGAGCGAGAGUGUGACGGAGGCGCCCCGGGUGGGAUGACGGCCUGUUGGGUUUGAAAAGCUGUAGCGUGUGACGAAGAGUGUGUGACGGUAAUGGGUAAAGAAGCACCGGCUAACUACGUG
RNAcentral lists this ribosomal RNA (468 nucleotides) under uncultured bacterium. RNAcentral describes it as "partial 16S ribosomal RNA". It matches the Rfam family "Bacterial small subunit ribosomal RNA", at positions 28 to 507 of the family's 1533-position model. The record is from RNAcentral.